This 388-nucleotide ribosomal RNA is filed under the name uncultured bacterium. Its description in RNAcentral is "bacterial SSU rRNA". It matches the Rfam family "Bacterial small subunit ribosomal RNA", at positions 28 to 417 of the family's 1533-position model. The record is from RNAcentral.
GACGAACGCUGGCGGCGUGCUUAACACAUGCAAGUCGAGCGGUAAGGCCCUUUCGGGGGUACACGAGCGGCGAACGGGUGAGUAACACGUGGGUGACCUGCCCUUAGCUCUGGGAUAAGCCUGGGAAACUGGGUCUAAUACCGGAUAUGACUCCAUGAUGCAUGUUGUGGGGUGGAAAGCCUUGUGCGGCUAGGGAUGGGCCCGCGGCCUAUCAGCUUGUUGGUGGGGUGAUGGCCUACCAAGGCGACGACGGGUAGCCGGCCUGAGAGGGCGACCGGCCACACUGGGACUGAGACACGGCCCAGACUCCUACGGGAGGCAGCAGUGGGGAAUCUUGCGCAAUGGGCGAAAGCCUGACGCAGCGACGCCGCGUGAGGGAUGACGGCCU